RNAcentral lists this ribosomal RNA (163 nucleotides) under Opuntia gaumeri. RNAcentral describes it as "5.8S ribosomal RNA". It matches the Rfam family "5.8S ribosomal RNA". Rfam says of the family: 5.8S ribosomal RNA (5.8S rRNA) is a component of the large subunit of the eukaryotic ribosome. It is transcribed by RNA polymerase I as part of the 45S precursor that also contains 18S and 28S rRNA. Lineage: Eukaryota; Viridiplantae; Streptophyta; Magnoliopsida; Caryophyllales; Cactaceae. The record is from RNAcentral.
AACGACUCUCGGCAACGGAUAUCUCGGCUCUCGCAUCGAUGAAGAACGUAGCGAAAUGCGAUACUUGGUGUGAAUUGCAGAAUCCCGUGAACCAUCGAGUCUUUGAACGCAAGUUGCGCCCGAAAGCCUUCCGGCCGAGGGCACGUCUGCCUGGGCGUCACGC